This 794-nucleotide unclassified non-coding RNA is filed under the name Leishmania donovani. RNAcentral's name for it is "gene:unknown". Lineage: Eukaryota; Euglenozoa; Kinetoplastea; Trypanosomatida; Trypanosomatidae. The record is from RNAcentral.
CGGAGAGGAGGGGCUAAUGUUGUUGCAUAGAUGCACCUCACUCUGCGCACAGAUGCGGAUAUCACCAGAAACGUGCCCGCUCGUCCUGUGUACAAUCUUUCGAGGCUGAGGAGUGUGCAUAGGCGUCUGCCGACGCCAAGCUAACGAAAGGUAAACCUCAAAGCGGCCCCGGCGGCGUUUCUACUCGGGGCUCAUUUUUUGCGCUGCUCUGUUUUCCUGUGUGUGUGUGUGGAGGGAGGGAGGGGGCUGAGACUGCGACGGCCACGUUGUCGGCCUCCCUCCAUUUUGUCAUGCUGUCUUCCCCACCCGCGUGCGCGCUGAGGGUGACAGCCAGAAGCCGUUCCUCCUUCUUUUUCUUGCUGACCUCUCUCAGGGUUUGUGGUGGGGUCCGCUCACCGGGCGCCUCUCGCCGUGCGCGCUACUCUUACCCCGAGGUGCCGAUGCUGUGCCGCUUUUUCUCUUUCUCUCACCGCUUGCACGCUCUCUAGGUGCCCCGCGCGCUGAUUCCUACAUAUCAUUCGAUGCGGACACUGCCUGUGUCGUGCGCGCUCUCCAACCCCUCCCCCCAUACGUAUCUUUGACCAUGCGCGUGCGUGCUGCUCACGUGUGCAUGAAGCUGCACGCACACGCACACGCACGCCUCUCCCUAUACGUUUUCCACCUCAUCUCCAUCAAGUGAUGCACCCAAAGGAAUGCUUGCAUCACCCGCCUCGUUUCCUAUUCUCCCGUUGAACUGUGUCCGUCGUCGUCGCAUCGCCUUUGCCUCCGCUCGCUCUUCUCGCUUCGCCUGUCAG